AAGCCCAAUAGCUAGCCCGACCCCCUAAACUCAAUUAACCCCCCUCAAUAACCCCCAAAACACCAAAAACAUAAAAUAAACCAUUUUUCCCUCUUAGUAUAGGAGAUAGAAAAGAGC
This 117-nucleotide ribosomal RNA is filed under the name Halichoeres melanochir (orangefin wrasse). RNAcentral describes it as "partial 16S rRNA". The record is from RNAcentral. Lineage: Eukaryota; Metazoa; Chordata; Actinopteri; Labriformes; Labridae.